CCCUUAGAUGUUCUGGGCUGCACGCGCGCUACACUGAUGCGCUCAACGAGUUUUAACCUUGCCUGGAAAGGUUGGGUAAUCUUUUUAAAACGCAUCGUGAUGGGGAUAGAUUAUUGCAAUUAUUAAUCUUCAACGAGGAAUUCCUAGUAAGCGCGAGUCAUCAGCUCGUGUUGAUUACGUCCCUGCCCUUUGUACACACCGCCCGUCGCUCCUACCGAUUGAAUGUUCCGAUGAAUACCAUGGACUGAGAGUAUGAAUGGGUUCGCCUAUUUCUGCUUCUCGGGAAGUGGAGUAAAUCUUAACAUUUAGAGGAAGGAGAAGUCGUAACA
Molecule: ribosomal RNA, 329 nt
Filed under: uncultured eukaryote
Lineage: Eukaryota
Description: partial 18S ribosomal RNA
Rfam family: Eukaryotic small subunit ribosomal RNA
Source: RNAcentral